CUUCAGCGUUCUGUUUAUUAAAUUCCAAAAGCAAUAAAAACAUUUAGGAGCGUUUAAAAAAACAAACCAAAAGCGUUUAAGAAACAUAUAUGUUUGUUAAACAUAUCUUUUAUCUGUCCCGAGGAAGGUUUUUACCAAUUCACUCCUG
This 148-nucleotide ribosomal RNA is filed under the name Bartonella bovis. RNAcentral's name for it is "partial 16S-23S ribosomal RNA intergenic spacer". The record is from RNAcentral. Lineage: Bacteria; Pseudomonadati; Pseudomonadota; Alphaproteobacteria; Hyphomicrobiales; Bartonellaceae.